UGGGGAAUAUUGCACAAUGGGCGAAAGCCUGAUGCAGCGACGCCGCGUGAGGGAUGACGGCCUUCGGGUUGUAAACCUCUUUCAGCAGGGAAGAAGCGUGAGUGACGGUACCUGCAGAAGAAGCGCCGGCUAACUACGUGCCAGCAGCCGCGGUAAUACGUAGGGCGCAAGCGUUGUCCGGAAUUAUUGGGCGUAAAGAGCUCGUAGGCGGCUUGUCGCGUCGGUUGUGAAAGCCCGGGGCUUAACCCCGGGUCUGCAGUCGAUACGGGCAGGCUAGAGUUCGGUAGGGGAGAUCGGAAUUCCUGGUGUAGCGGUGAAAUGCGCAGAUAUCAGGAGGAACACCGGUGGCGAAGGCGGAUCUCUGGGCCGAUACUGACGCUGAGGAGCGAAAGCGUGGGGAGCGAACAG
Molecule: ribosomal RNA, 408 nt
Filed under: uncultured bacterium
Lineage: Bacteria
Description: bacterial SSU rRNA
Rfam family: Bacterial small subunit ribosomal RNA
Source: RNAcentral